AGUGAACGCUGGCGGUAGGCCUAACACAUGCAAGUCGAACGGCAGCACAGUAAGAGCUUGCUCUUACGGGUGGCGAGUGGCGGACGGGUGAGGAAUACAUCGGAAUCUACUUUUUCGUGGGGGAUAACGUAGGGAAACUUACGCUAAUACCGCAUACGCCCUACGGGUGAAAGCAGGGGAGCUUCGGACCUUGCGCGAUUGAAUGAGCUGAUGUCGGAUUAGCUAGUUGGCGGGGUAAAGGCCCACCAAGGCGACGAUCCGUAGCUGGUCUGAGAGGAUGAUCAGCCACACUGGAACUGAGACACGGUCCAGACUCCUACGGGAGGCAGCAGUGGGGAAUAUUGGACGAUGGGCGCAAGCCUGAUCCAGCCAUACCGCGUGGAUGAAGAAGGCCUUCUGGUUGUAAAGCCCUUUUGUUGGGAAAGAAAAGCAGCAGGUUAAUACCCCGCUGUUCUGACGGUACCCAAAGAAUAAGCACCGGCUAACUUCGUG
Molecule: ribosomal RNA, 492 nt
Filed under: uncultured bacterium
Lineage: Bacteria
Description: partial 16S ribosomal RNA
Rfam family: Bacterial small subunit ribosomal RNA
Source: RNAcentral